AGUGAACGCUGGCGGCAGGCCUAACACAUGCAAGUCGAGCGGCAGCGCGGGGGCAACCCUGGCGGCGAGCGGCGGACGGGUGAGGAAUUCGUCGGAAUCUGCCUUUUUGUGGGGGAUAACGUAGGGAAACUUACGCUAAUACCGCAUACGUCCUACGGGAGAAAGUGGGGGACCGCAAGGCCUCACGCAGAAAGAUGAGCCGACGACCGAUUAGCUAGUUGGUGGGGUAAAGGCCCACCAAGGCGACGAUCGGUAGCUGGUCUGAGAGGAUGAUCAGCCACACUGGGACUGAGACACGGCCCAGACUCCUACGGGAGGCAGCAGUGGGGAAUAUUGGACAAUGGGCGCAAGCCUGAUCCAGCCAUGCCGCGUGUGUGAAGAAGGCCUGCGGGUUGUAAAGCACUUUUGUCCGGAAAGAAAUCCCUGGAGCUAAGACCUUCGGGGGAUGACGGUACCGGAAGAAUAAGCACCGGCGAACUUCGU
Molecule: ribosomal RNA, 483 nt
Filed under: uncultured bacterium
Lineage: Bacteria
Description: partial 16S ribosomal RNA
Rfam family: Bacterial small subunit ribosomal RNA
Source: RNAcentral